Non-coding RNA from Malus domestica (apple), 983 nucleotides. The record is from RefSeq and is a predicted model, not a curated record. Lineage: Eukaryota; Viridiplantae; Streptophyta; Magnoliopsida; Rosales; Rosaceae.
UCUGUUUUCUUAUUUGUGCUUGAAGAGAAAUUCUUAACUUUUUUGCAUUGCUUAUAUAUUGAUCUGCUCCAUGUAGUAUUGACCCGAUACACAUUGAUGAUCCCCUUUUUCCAACUAAUAAUGUGGGGCGUAAUUGCUUCCGUAUACAUCAGUGUAUCAAGGCAUUUUCAGAAGCUCACUCUAUUUUGGAGAAUGAGUUGGCUUCUCUUCCCAAUGACGGUGGUGAUGAUGCGUGCUCAAGGCCCCCAUAUAGACUUCUCUGGAAAAUCAUCCCAAGUAUUGAUCUAUCGUAGCACUGCUUACUGUAUGCAAAGUUGUAUGCUUCUUAAGAGUAGGGGAGGUUGCGAAAUAGUAGGUGCCUUCGGUUAUGACUCCUUACCCUGCUAAUCCCAUCCCCUGGCGUUUUAACUUGUUGGUUGAAAACUGCAACCCCUAAUUAUGGCUUUAAGCAUGAUUAAAUUGGAGUUCAUUCUGUAUGGGCGACCAUGAUAUGUCUGUAAUUUUCACUGCAGAUUAGCUCCGGUACUCUCGGUGCAGUCAUGAACUCUCUUUGUUAUGGUUCUGGUGCAGGUGUUGGCCACAGAAAAUCGCCGGUUUUGUUGCCGUCAUAAUGUCAUUAAAGACUGGAUUUUCUGCUAAACUGUAUCAAGUUCAUCUUGGUGCCAAACGUGCUCAAGUGAGAGUGGAAAGGAGUAGCAACAAUCAGAAAAAGGCUCGCAUCAGAUUCUUCAGGUCAGCCCCCAAACCUGAUUUGGCGGUUCACUGCACUGAACAUUUGUGCCGAAAACUCUAAAACCAAUUGUAUAUAUUGUUAGUACGGGUGUAUAAAUUUUAUACAACUGUUCAUAAAUUAUACCAGCUGUUCAGUUACGUCGAACUAGCAUAGAAUUUGUAUACUCGUCGAAAACAAAACGUUAGGUUGUAUGUGGCCAAGAUAUUUACCUAGCAACAGAAAUGUAUUGAGAUCAUAAAGUUCAACUGUA